Molecule: long non-coding RNA, 237 nt
Filed under: Mytilus galloprovincialis (Mediterranean mussel)
Lineage: Eukaryota; Metazoa; Mollusca; Bivalvia; Mytilida; Mytilidae
Source: RNAcentral
GGGUUAGUAAUCGAUGAUAGUGAGUUUGAGGGUUAAGGAAAUGCUCUAUUAAUGUGAAAUUAAGUGCCCUAUAUUUUGUUACUUGGUGAGAUAAAAAGGAAGAGAUUAUUUUAAUAUAGGCAUCUGUUGACUUGUCAACCUGUCUACCAGUCAACCAUAAAAGACUGUUUUAUUCUAUCAAAUUGUCAACCAUUACAAUUAUAAUUUUCCAUUUCAUCAAAUUGUCAACAAUAAUAA